Molecule: ribosomal RNA, 248 nt
Filed under: uncultured bacterium
Lineage: Bacteria
Description: partial small subunit ribosomal RNA
Rfam family: Bacterial small subunit ribosomal RNA
Source: RNAcentral
AGGACGAACGCUGGCGGCGUGCUUAACACAUGCAAGUCGAACGGACACUUUCGGGUGUUAGUGGCGAACGGGUGAGUAACACGUGGGCAACCUGCCCCUAGCUCUGGGAUAACUCCGGGAAACCGGGGCUAAUACUGGAUAUGACCUUCUCACGCAUGUGGGUUGGUGGAAAGUUUUUCGGCUAGGGAUGGGCCCGCGGCCUAUCAGCUUGUUGGUGGGGUGAUGGCCUACCAAGGCGACGACGGGUA